Molecule: small nucleolar RNA, 87 nt
Organism: Mercurialis annua (annual mercury)
Lineage: Eukaryota; Viridiplantae; Streptophyta; Magnoliopsida; Malpighiales; Euphorbiaceae
Product: small nucleolar RNA snoR116
Exons: 1
Source: RefSeq, a predicted model, not a curated record
GUGCUGUGAAGAGUUCUAUUAUACCAUCAAACUUUGAAAGCUCAUAGAAGCUUGUUGAUGUCAAUUUUAACUGAAUAUUCUGAGCUU